This 207-nucleotide ribosomal RNA is filed under the name uncultured bacterium. Its description in RNAcentral is "partial 16S ribosomal RNA". It matches the Rfam family "Bacterial small subunit ribosomal RNA", at positions 568 to 774 of the family's 1533-position model. The record is from RNAcentral.
AGCGUAGACGGCUCUGCAAGUCUGGAGUGAAAACCCGGGGCUCAACCCUGGGACUGCUUUGGAAACUGUGGAGCUUGAGUACCGGAGGGGUAAGCGGAGUUCCUAGUGUAGCGGUGAAAUGCGUAGAUAUUAGGAGGAACACCAGUGGCGAAGGCGGCUUACUGGACGGUAACUGACGUUGAGGCUCGAAAGCGUGGGGAGCAAACA